RNAcentral lists this long non-coding RNA (243 nucleotides) under Setaria italica (foxtail millet). RNAcentral describes it as "long non-coding RNA (SITA_LNC002846)". Lineage: Eukaryota; Viridiplantae; Streptophyta; Magnoliopsida; Poales; Poaceae. The record is from RNAcentral.
GGCGAGGCAGCGAUCGUGCGGGUGGCCACGUUGCCGCCCACCGGGGAGUAGGAGGCGGCGGCGAUCAGGGUUUGGAGGCCGAGGGGGCAGCAGGCGGCGGCGUCGCGGGCCUCGGCGGCGGGGAGGAGGAGCAUCGCAGAUUCGCCGCGUACGGUGGCGUGGCGGAUUGGGAGGUCUCUCUCCCGGCUAUAUCAAGGUCGCGGAACCCGACGCCCUCCGAGUUGGACUCGGCGCGGCGUCCUU